AAGUCCCACUAAUGCCAGC
This 19-nucleotide microRNA is filed under the name Homo sapiens (human). Its description in RNAcentral is "hsa-miR-5588-3p". The record is from miRBase by way of RNAcentral. Lineage: Eukaryota; Metazoa; Chordata; Mammalia; Primates; Hominidae.